Molecule: long non-coding RNA, 275 nt
Organism: Magnolia sinica
Lineage: Eukaryota; Viridiplantae; Streptophyta; Magnoliopsida; Magnoliales; Magnoliaceae
Exons: 3
Source: RefSeq, a predicted model, not a curated record
UUAGGGUUAGGAAAUCGGGUUCGGGUUCAGGAUCGGGUUUAGUUUUGGGUUUUCAAGUUUAGGUUUAGGUUAAGGAGUUGAGAUUAGGAUUUGGUGUAGGUUUAGGUUUAGGGAUUUGAGAAUACAUUUAGGUUUAGGUUUAGGAAAUCGGGUUCGGGAUCGGGAUCGGGUUUAGGUUUGGGUUUUCAUGUUUAGGUUUAGGUUUAGGUUAGGGAGUUGAGAUUAGGAUUAGGUGUAGGUUUAGGUUUAGGGAUUUGAGAAUACAUUUAGGUUUU